AGGAAAGCAAGUGACUAAAUAGACUAAGAACAAGGAUCUGCGAAUCGUGUAACAUCACAUACGCAAAGAAAAGUAGCCUGUGGCAAAGAAAACACAUUGUCACCAGCUAAGAGAGCUGCUGCUGGACGGAAGGCUCUAAUGGCUUUGCUAGAGCUUCUGAGGAAUCCACGUUAACCUCCUGCUCAGUCUUUUGUGGAAGAGAUUAACCACAAGAGCAGCACCAUCGGCCCAGCCCCACUUUGCAGACAGCUGCCUGUGUGGACAGACUCAGUUUGAACCCAGACUUGUGUCCCGCUGGAGACUCCUCUGAAGGCCGCGGCUGAGUCAGGCUUUUUGAAGCGACCAUGCUUUCCGGAGCUCACCGAUUACUGAAGCUGUCUACUGAUGAGGACGUCCUGAUUCCCCGAAGCUGAGAGCUGCGAAAGGCAGUCCCGGAGAGCCCAGCUCCUCCAGGAGGAAUGAGAGCGGAGCAGCGAUCUGGGCAUCGGUGAGAACUCUGCGGGCAAGCGAUGAAGUGGAAAGUCUGCACACCCCUGGCGGGCCGGAAAUGUGAGCUUACCUUCAGUUCCUCAUGAGGCCUGGGGCAGGACAGACACACAGGAUGUGACCAACACAGAUUUGUGGAGAUUUUGCAUGAAGAAAAGGAGAGCAGGAUGGCAAUGUUUCCUGGAAGCCUGUCUCUUGCCCAGGGAAAACCCCAGAAUGGUCAGUGCCACCUACUCUCCUCCCUUUCAGAAAGGACUAACUGAUCCUCCUCUUGCCCUGACUGUAAAUUCUGAACUGACUUCCUAAGAAUACGUCAGACCUUGGAAGGAGAAAGAGCAUAUUGGCUAAAGGAAGCCCCACCACAUUCUCACAUUCACAGAAACGAGCAGGAAGCGGAUGCAGGGACACGGUCUUUGGAAAUAGGUCAAGUAAAGGGAAUGGCUUAGAAAAUCACCUUCCAUUUGCCUUCAGAGGCUAUUAAACAGGAAAGGAGAUUCCCAAAGGAAGAGAUGUCAACAGCUUUUGGAGAGAUGGAGAGCAUCAGCAUGAAACAAGAGCCUUAGAUCAAAAUAGCAACGUUCUGGCAUUUAAGGUCCUCUGCAAUGUGAAUCCAUUAAUGUUGAGGCACAACUGACCAUACACAAUUAGAAGGAAAUAAACAAGAUAGCCUCUCAGUUCCUCUAUCACCAAGAGAAACAGCAACAACUCAACUGCUGAUUAGGAGCAAGGACGGCAGCUCAGAAGUCUGUUGACUGCUCUUCAGCUCCUGGACACAUAAAACCAUCGGGAUUCGUCUGAGAACUUCAGAAUUGCUGGAGAUGGCCCCCACAUCUAGAUGGUCUUUUUCCUGAAGACCUUUUAGAAAACCCAACAGAUGGAUGCAGGGCACCAAGGGGACUAAAGAAUGACCACUGUGAAGGACAGCAAGAAGGUCCCGUUUAAGAAGCAGAGCUGGUGUGCCGGGGGCUCAGCAACAAGCCAUGUCUGGACAAGAAGUUGACAACGAGAUUCAAGACAAAGAAGAGGAAGUCCCGGGACGGAAAAUAUUCAGGGUGGAAAUUCCUCUGCUUUACUGUCGUGAAAAUGAAAAGUGAGCCGUGGACUGGGAGAAAAAUAUGUGCAAAACAUAUCCAGUAAAAGACUUGUAUCUGGAUAUAGAAAAAAUUCUUAUAAUUCGAUAAGAAGAAGACAAAUGACCAAUUGAAAAGGAAGAUAUACAGAUGGCAUUUAGGUACAUGAAAGAUACUCACUAGUCAUCAGGGAAAGGAAAAUUUAAAACCACAAGGAGAUAUUACUACUACCCAGUAGCAUGGCUAAAAUUAAAAAGACUGACCUACAAAGUGUUGGCAAAAAUGUGGAGAAAUUGAAAUUGUCAUGCACUGCUGGUAGGAAUGUAAAAUGGUAAAAACACUUUGGAAAACAAGUCAGAAGUUUCAUACAUAGUUAAACAUACACCUUCCCAACCAUAUAACCUAGCCAUUCGACUCCUGGGUAGAGAGAUGUGAUCAUAUAACC
This is a long non-coding RNA of Equus asinus (donkey), 2001 nucleotides long. Lineage: Eukaryota; Metazoa; Chordata; Mammalia; Perissodactyla; Equidae. The record is from Ensembl.